AUACGUAGGGGGCGAGCGUUAUCCGGAUUUAUUGGGCGUAAAGCGUGUGUAGGCGGUUUGUUAAGUUUAAGAUUAAAGCCCGAGGCUUAACCUCGGUUCGUCUUAAAAACUGGCAGACUUGAGUGCCGUAGAGGCAAGUGGAAUUUCUAGUGUAGCGGUUAAAUGCGUAGAUAUUAGAAGGAACACCAGUGGCGAAGGCGGCUUGCUGGGCUGUUACUGACGCUGAGACACGAAAGCGUGGGGAGCAAAUAGGAUUAGAUACCCUAGUAGUCCACGCCGUAAACGAUGAGUACUAAGUGUCGGGUAACCGGUGCUGAAGUUAACACAUUAAGUACUCCGCCUGAGUAGUACGGUCGCAAGGCUGAAACUCAAAUGAAUUGACGGGG
RNAcentral lists this ribosomal RNA (386 nucleotides) under uncultured bacterium. RNAcentral describes it as "partial 16S ribosomal RNA". It matches the Rfam family "Bacterial small subunit ribosomal RNA", at positions 523 to 918 of the family's 1533-position model. The record is from RNAcentral.